Molecule: ribosomal RNA, 492 nt
Filed under: uncultured bacterium
Lineage: Bacteria
Description: partial 16S ribosomal RNA
Rfam family: Bacterial small subunit ribosomal RNA
Source: RNAcentral
AGUGAACGCUGGCGGUAUGCCUAACACAUGCAAGUCGAACGGCAGCACAGUAAGCGCUUGCUCUUACGGGUGGCGAGUGGCGGACGGGUGACGAAUACAUCGGCAUCUUCUUUUUCUGGGGGGAUUACGUAAGGCAACUUCUGCUAAUACCGCAUACGAUCUACGGCUGAAAGCAAUGGUGCUUCAGGCCUUGCGCGAUUCAAUGAGACGAGGCCGGAUUAGCUAGUUGGCGUGGUAAAGGCCCACCAAGGCGACGAUCCGUAGCUGGUCUGAGAGGAUGAUCGGCCACACUGGAACUGAGACACGGUCCAGACUCCUACGGGAGGCAGCAGUGGGGAAUAUUCGACAAUGGGCGAAAGCCUGAUCGAGCCAUACCGCGUGGGUGAAGAAGGUCUUCGGGUUGUAAAGCCCUUUUAUUGGGAAAGAAAAGCUGCAGGUUAAUACACGGCUGUUCUGACGGUACCCAAAGAAUAAGCACCGGCUAACUUCGUG